GAGAGGCGCGGGCGGGAACCGAGGCUGCCUGCGGUGCUCGCAGGUCCAGCGCGACUUCCGGGUGGGCGCGGGCUCGGCGGGUCCCACACUCCGAGCGGCCGGCUUGCGCCGCCGGCCCUGGGCAGUGAGGGGCUUAGCACCCGGGCCAGCAGCUGUAGAGGGUGCACUGGGUCCCCCAACAGUGAUGGCCCGCCGGCGCCGCGCUCGAAUUUUCGCUGGGCCUCAGCCACCUCCCCGCGGGGCAAGGGGGCAGGGCUCGGGACCUGCAGCCUGCCAUGCUGGAGCCCUCACCCUGCUCCCCGCCCCCUGUCCGCUGCCCCCUGCCCCCCAACCGCGGGCUCCCGCGCGCCACUCCGAGGGGACGGGCGCCACCCCCUGCUACGCGGCACCCUGUCCCGUCAACCGCCCAAGGGCUGAGGAGUGCGGGAGCGCGCCAGAGACUGGCGGGCCGCUCCGCCCCCGGCCGGGAUGCACUAGGCAAAGCCAGCUGGGCUCCUGAGUCAGAAAGCAGUCAUGAUGGUCUGCACUCCACACAAUGCAACAGAGUGAAAGAGCAGGUUCUGGUUCUUUGGUGUAGUCCUGAAGCUUCCUAAGAAAGUUCACAUCAGGUGAUGGAUAGGAGCAAUCCUGUAAAACCAGCCUUAGACUAUUUUUCAAACAAAAGAAGAUGGAAGAAGAAGGAAAGAAAAGGCAUAAUGUAAAUAUAAAUGCUGUCUUUAUUUCUGGAUCUAGCAAAGAGUUAGUUUGAAAGAGCAAUUGCUUAUAAGACUACAAGGCUGAUUUCUCUCAUCCCUGCAAUGCUGAAGGUCUGUGCCCUUCUAAGCAAAUUCUAGUUUCCCUGACAAUUCGUCUAAUGGAAUGCCUGGAUGUAGGAAUAUUGAUUCCAAUGACAGUACUUAUACAGAUGGACCUGAGAUAUUUCCACUGGUUCUUCACUGACAACACACAACAUAUGGAUGAUCAUAACUUUCCCAUAUACCCCACUAGGGCAAAACCAGAAACUGAGAAAGCUAGAUGGAAGAAUAAUGAUGUGGAAGGGGAGUUCUCCACUAGGAAGGAUCCGAUGAGUAGAUAGACACAAGGACAAAGAGGGCCUAAUUUUGGGCUGUGGAAGUGAAAUUGCACUCAUAGCAGCUAUAGUGAGUCACUGUGGCAGAACCACUAAGCAUCAGUCAUGAAGAGCAAACGGGCUUGCUAUUAUAGGAGUUAAACCUUGGACCCUUCCAUCGUGGUUACAGAGAGCUUCUGGGGGACAGCAUGAGACAGCUUAGCACUUCCCCAAUAUUAUGAGGAAACCCAAAGGCCCAGAUGCCACUUGGGAAAGGAGAACCAAGAAGGAAGGACUUCAGAAAAGGAAGAAACCAUGAAACAUUAAGUAAUUUACAAACUAGACUCUUCUAUAUUCUCUUAUUUUAUUUAUUUCUUUAUUUUUGAGACAGAGUCUCACUCUUUGCCCUUGAUGAAAUGCACUGGCCCAAUCAUGGCUCACUGCAGCCUCAAAAUCCUGGCCUCAAGAAAUCCUCCAGACUCAGCUUCCUAAAGUGCUGGGAUUACAGGCAUGAGCCACAGCACCUGACCUAGACUGUUUUAAACUAGAUUUCCCUGAGAAAACUUUCACUGGAAAAAUCAAAAUUAUCCUGCUGUCAUUAAGAGAAAAAUAUCUGUUAUAGAAAACUACAUUCUAUUUUUUCAAACAUGUCAUAAAUAUUUGGACCCCUCUCUGAGAACAAACUACUUAUAAGUCAUUUCAAUCAUUAACGAAUAUCAUAAUUGAGGGCCUGUGCUGGGUGCCAGAAAUCUACCAGUGAGCAAAACAGCACUGAUCUUUGUCCACAGUAAAUUUACAGAUCAGAGGAAACAGAAAAAUAAUCAGUUAAAUAAAACAAGUCUGAAAAUUGCAUAUGAGAACCCAAAGCAGAGGUACCUAACCAGGUCAAAAAAAAAAAAAAAAAAAAAAAAAAAUGGAGCAAAUUGUGCCUAAGAACUUGGUAUUUUUCUUCAUCCAUUCGAUGUUCUAGCUACAUUUCUUCACAUGUCCCAUUACUAAGGUUGACACUUCCAUGCAGUUGCAUAUGUUGUUCCCAGUAUUACUUUUCUGUUGCUGCCCUAACAAAUUGUCACACUUUUGCAGCUUAAAACAACACAAAUAGAUUAUAUUACAAUUCUGGAAGACAGAAGUUCUAAAACCAAGGUUUUCACAGGGCUGGGUUCUUCUGGAGGCUGCAGGAGAAAAUCUGUUUCCUUGCCUUUUUCUGCUUCUAGAGGCUUCCUGCAUUCUUGCUCUUGUAAACCUUCUUUCCUCCCAACAGUCCAGCCUCUGCUUUCGUCAUCGUUAUCUUUUUCUCUCUGACUUGAGCCUCUUGCCUCCCUCUUACAUAAACCCUAGUGUCUACACUGGGCCCACCAGGAUACUUCAGGAUAAUCCUCCCAUCUCACGACGUUUACCUUAAUUAUCUCUGCAAAGCCCCUUUCGGCAUGCAAGGUAAACAUUAACAGGUUUCAGGGAUGAGGCCGUGCCCAUUUGUGGGCGGGGGUGGUUGUAGGAAAAGUAUCAUGCAACCUACCACUCUUUGUUCACAGGAAUUUCCAUCUGGAUCCUUUUAGAAUUAAUCAUUAUCAUUUACUAAAGUGUGGAGGAUGAUAGAAAAAAAAAACGAAGGCAGAUAAGGAAAGAGCAAAGAAAGGCAAAUGGGAAGGAAGGAAAUAAGGAAGAAAGUCAACCUUAGAUCAUCAUGAUGUUUUUGCUUGUCACCAAGGGAAGGAGAUCAAGUGGCUCCCCAGUGAUAGGUGAUGUUACCUUGGAUGAAGACAGCAUCCCUAACCAGAUACUGAACCUGCUGGCACCUUGAUCUUAAACUCCCCAGCCUCUGGAAUUGUCAGAAAAAAAUUUCUGUCUUUCAGGAAUUACCCAGUAUCAAGCAUAUUCUUAUAGCAGCACAAACUAAGACAGGGAGGCUUUUGCUAUCUCUCCUCUGAAUUAUCACAAUUAUCUUCGAAAUGGUUUUUCUACUUUCACCUUCAUGGCUUUCCAAUAAUUCUCAAUACAAAUGCAUGAUUACAUAAACAUUUGCUCAAGAACCUGUAUAAACAGACUGCUGGAUAAUGACUAGAUCCUCAGGAUAUGCAGGGCUCAAGAGAAAUGAAAUAUCUUGGGGAUAUGGUUACUUAAGACGUGAUACUGUCACAGUGAAUUUCAUAGAAGAUGGUGCUGCCCUAACUGAGGUUCAAUCCAUGUAUAAGCCAGACCAAUCUGAAGACAAAUAAAGUAUUUCACAGCCAC
Pongo pygmaeus (Bornean orangutan) is the source of this 3280-nucleotide long non-coding RNA. RefSeq lists it as uncharacterized. The record is from RefSeq and is a predicted model, not a curated record. The transcript has 4 exons. NCBI's taxonomy places the organism in Eukaryota, Metazoa, Chordata, Mammalia, Primates, Hominidae.